Molecule: unclassified non-coding RNA, 409 nt
Filed under: soil metagenome
Description: partial contains 5.8S ribosomal RNA, internal transcribed spacer 2, and large subunit ribosomal RNA
Rfam family: 5.8S ribosomal RNA (bases 1-121)
Source: RNAcentral
GAUGAAGAACGUAGUGAAAUGCGAUAAGUAGUGUGAAUUGCAGAAGUACCGUGAAUCAUCGAAUCUUUGAACGCAAAUUGCACUCUCUGGUAUUCCGGGGAGUAUGCCUGUUUGAGGGUCGCUUAACAAACCAUCGAUUUCGUUGCUUUUUUUUUAAAAAGUGAUGUUUAUCGGAUUUGAGCCGUCUUUUUUUUUAUAUUUAAGUGGCUUAAAAUUGAUUUUUUUGGUACGAUCGAAGCGUAUUUUUAUGAUCAAUUUUUGGUUAAAGAAACGCACGCGUACCGUUAUUUAUAUGAUGUAAUACGUUUGACUAUUGGAUUUAGUUCAUUCGUAUACGAUAUUUUUCAAUAUUUGACCUCAAAUCAGGUAAGAACACCCGCUGAACUUAAGCAUAUCAAUAAGCGGAGGA